GACGAACGCUGGCGGCGUGCCUAAUACAUGCAAGUCGAGCGAAUGGAUUAAGAGCUUGUUCUUAUGAAGUUAGCGGCGGACGGGUGAGUAACACGUGGGUAACCUGCCCAUAAGAUUGGGAUAACUCCGGGAAACCGGGGCUAAUACCGGAUAACAUUUUGAACCGCAUGGUUCGAAAUUGAAAGGCGGCUUCGGCUGUCACUUACGGAUGGACCCGCGUCGCAUUAGCUAGUUGGUGAGGUAACGGCUCACCAAGGCAACGAUGCGUAGCCGACCUGAGAGGGUGAUCGGCCACACUGGGACUGAGACACGGCCCAGACUCCUACGGGAGGCAGCAGUAGGGAAUCUUCCGCAAUGGACGAAAGUCUGACGGAGCAACGCCGCGUGAGUGAUGAAGGCUUUCGGGUCGUAAAACUCUGUUGUUAGGGAAGAACAAGUGCUAGUUGAAUAAGCUGGCACCUUGACGGUACCUAACCAGAAAGCCACGGCUAACUACGUGCCAGCAGCCGCCGUAA
RNAcentral lists this ribosomal RNA (515 nucleotides) under uncultured bacterium. Its description in RNAcentral is "partial 16S ribosomal RNA". It matches the Rfam family "Bacterial small subunit ribosomal RNA", at positions 28 to 523 of the family's 1533-position model. The record is from RNAcentral.